This 74-nucleotide transfer RNA is filed under the name Streptococcus pneumoniae. RNAcentral's name for it is "tRNA-Ile". It matches the Rfam family "tRNA". Rfam says of the family: Transfer RNA (tRNA) molecules are approximately 80 nucleotides in length. The record is from RNAcentral. RNAcentral also lists the same sequence under 4 other names. Lineage: Bacteria; Bacillati; Bacillota; Bacilli; Lactobacillales; Streptococcaceae.
GGGCGCGUAGCUCAGGUGGUUAGAGCGCACGCCUGAUAAGCGUGAGGUCGGUGGUUCGAGCCCACUCGUGCCCA